Phascolarctos cinereus (koala) is the source of this 1583-nucleotide non-coding RNA. Lineage: Eukaryota; Metazoa; Chordata; Mammalia; Diprotodontia; Phascolarctidae. The record is from RefSeq and is a predicted model, not a curated record.
CCCGGCUUCGCUAGUGAGGGCGGAAGUGCUUCGGACAGUACCAGGCGUGUGCGACUCCGCGCGUCACGCCGUGGAGACAGCAAAGACAGACCAAAGUGACUUUGCUAAGAUGGCGGCCCUUCACCUGUUGAUGUCCUUUCUCUCGGUCAGCUGAGACCCAAAGAGCACCAGGUAUCCAGAGGCAGAAUGAGGAGGCGGUGAACUCCCGACAUAGGAGCCACCGAGGAAGAGACCAACCGUCCCGCUGGAGGCCAGUGCCCUGGAUCCCCGAGUACUUGGAGGCAGCGAUGUAAGGGCAGCACAAGAGCAGGACCAAAGGCAGUGGGAGUAACCCAAGGCCGGGGUGUGUGGGGCAAGGGACGGGAUGAAGUACACUUGAAGGAAGACAGCAACCAGUGCCAAGGGGACGACUUGGGUAAGAACUCAGAGGCGGGAGGAUUGGAAGGAGUCCUCAGGGUGAAAAAGAGGGGUUGAGGCCUCAAGGCAGCUGAAGACGCCACUGACAAAAGAGCAGAUGGUCUUGGCCACUUGGGGGCUGAGAGAAGGGCAGGGAGGGUCAGCAGAGAGCUCCACAGAGGCCCGAGGCUGCUGCCCCCACCAGUUGGCCUGGCUUUGCCUUUCAUUCCAUUGUCACUGACCAACCUGAAUUUCCUUUUGUUGAAAAAAAGGUGGUGUUUAGGUAGGCGUUAUACUUGGAAACAGCCGAUGAUUUUGGCUAUAGCCUCAUGCCCUCUUGAGAAGCCUGCACUAGGUGGGUCCUAGACAUGGCACAUGACAGGUGCCAAUUACAUCAAGCCCCGGCCUGAUACAAAGCCUCCCAGAUGAAAUCUAUAAUCCCUGUAAUUAGGUAACUCCUGCAGACAAGGUGGGGACCUUUGAGGGCCCCAGCCUCAGUCACGCUUCUGAAAGCACCCCUCCUCCAACAGUAGGAAUAGCCAUUCCUACUGAUGCCCUGGUUAAGAGGACAAAGGGCACUCACUCCUGUUUAGGUCUCAGAGACGGGCACUGCCCCAGGAUGGACUGACUGGUUGGGAGCCUCUGAGGAUACGGCUUUCAGUGCCUGGAGCUACCCCCAAGAUACCCCCAAGGUUGGCCAAGACCCUUGCUGGACCUGUUACAUGUGGAAACUCCACAUGUGCAUCUGCGUGGCUGAAGAAAAGCAUUAUUCUUGAACGCCUGCCUCCGGUUAGAGAAGAGAAUUUUCUAGACAACAGGACCCUGGAAUCCACCAUUUGGGGAGAGAAGGCCGUGAAGGCACACGUGCAUGUGGGUUUUGUGCUUGUGGGUAAUAUACGAUAAUAACAAAUGAUAAACAUAGUGUGCACUAUAUGCCAGGUACUGUGGUGAGCGCUUUAUAAUCAUGGUCUCAUCUGGUCCUCACAACAAGGUCCCUGCGAGGUGGGUGCUGUCCUUAGCCCCAUUUUACAGUUGAGGACACUGAGGUAGACAGAGGGAAAGUGACUGCCCUAGGAUGACAGAGACCGGAAGUGUCUGAGGGCACACCGACUCCAGGCCAGCUGCUCUGUGGCGCCCCCUAGCAGUGUGUCGACACAUACACAGGGGUGUAUAAGCAGGUGCCCACG